UGGAUGAUGUGGAUUAAUUCGAUGCAACGCGAAAACCUUACCUACCCUUGACAUGCCUGGAGCCUUGGUGAGAGCCGAGGGUGCCUUCGGGAGCCAGAACACAGGUGCUGCAUGGCCGUCGUCAGCUCGUGCCGUGAGGUGUUGGGUUAAGUCCCAUAACGAGCGCAACCCUUUUACUUAGUUGCCAGCAUGUAAUGAUGGGGACUCUAAGUAGACUGCCUGUGUAAGCAGGAGGAAGGAGGGGAUGAGGUCAGGUCAUCAUGGCUCUUACGCCCAGGGCUACACACGUGCUACAAUGGCGUGUACAGAAGGAAGCUACUUGGUAACAAGCGGCCAAUCCCGAAAGCACGUCUCAGUUCGGAUUGAGGUCUGCAACUCGACCUCAUGAAGUUGGAAUCGCUAGUAAUCGCGGAUCAGCAUGCCGCGGUCGAAUACGUUCCCGGGCCUU
This 448-nucleotide ribosomal RNA is filed under the name uncultured Candidatus Amoebophilus sp. RNAcentral describes it as "bacterial SSU rRNA". It matches the Rfam family "Bacterial small subunit ribosomal RNA", at positions 933 to 1382 of the family's 1533-position model. The record is from RNAcentral. Lineage: Bacteria; Pseudomonadati; Bacteroidota; Cytophagia; Cytophagales; Amoebophilaceae.